GGCCCGUUGGUCAAGCGGUUAAGACACCGCCCUUUCACGGCGGUAACACGGGUUCGAAUCCCGUACGGGUCACUA
RNAcentral lists this transfer RNA (75 nucleotides) under Sutcliffiella horikoshii. Its description in RNAcentral is "tRNA-Glu". It matches the Rfam family "tRNA". Rfam says of the family: Transfer RNA (tRNA) molecules are approximately 80 nucleotides in length. Their secondary structure includes four short double-helical elements and three loops (D, anti-codon, and T loops). RNAcentral also lists the same sequence under 6 other names. Lineage: Bacteria; Bacillati; Bacillota; Bacilli; Caryophanales; Bacillaceae. The record is from RNAcentral.